Molecule: ribosomal RNA, 483 nt
Filed under: uncultured bacterium
Lineage: Bacteria
Description: bacterial SSU rRNA
Rfam family: Bacterial small subunit ribosomal RNA
Source: RNAcentral
AACGAACGCUGGCGGCAUGCCUAACACAUGCAAGUCGAACGGGAUCCUAGCUUGCUAGGUGAGAGUGGCGGACGGGUGAGUAACACGUGGGAAUCUGCCUUUUGGUUCGGGAUAACCGCGGGAAACUGCGGCUAAUACCGAAUGCCCUCGUGAGAGGAAAGAUUUAUCGCCAGAAGAGGAGCCCGCGUCCGAUUAGGUAGUUGGUGGGGUAAAGGCCUACCAAGCCGACGAUCGGUAGCUGGUCUGAGAGGAUGAUCAGCCACACUGGGACUGAGAUACGGCCCAGACUCCUACGGGAGGCAGCAGUGGGGAAUAUUGGACAAUGGGGGCAACCCUGAUCCAGCAAUGCCGCGUGAGUGAUGAAGGCCUUAGGGUUGUAAAGCUCUUUUGUCAGGAACGAAACGGUUGAGGUUAAUACCCUUGGCUAAUGACGGUACCUGAAGAAUAAGCACCGGCUAACUACGUGCCAGCAGCCGCGGUAAU